This 72-nucleotide transfer RNA is filed under the name Camelus bactrianus (Bactrian camel). It matches the Rfam family "tRNA". From Rfam's summary of the family: Transfer RNA (tRNA) molecules are approximately 80 nucleotides in length. Their secondary structure includes four short double-helical elements and three loops (D, anti-codon, and T loops). Further hydrogen bonds mediate the characteristic L-shaped molecular structure. tRNAs have two regions of fundamental functional importance: the anti-codon, which is responsible for specific mRNA codon recognition, and the 3' end, to which the tRNAs corresponding amino acid is attached (by aminoacyl-tRNA synthetases). tRNAs cope with the degeneracy of the genetic code in two manners: having more than one tRNA (with a specific anti-codon) for a particular amino acid; and 'wobble' base-pairing, i.e. permitting non-standard base-pairing at the 3rd anti-codon position. Lineage: Eukaryota; Metazoa; Chordata; Mammalia; Artiodactyla; Camelidae. RNAcentral also lists the same sequence under 1 other name. The record is from Rfam by way of RNAcentral.
GAGGGCAUAGCUCACUGGUAGAGCACGUGCUUAGCAUGCACGAGGUCCUGGGUUCAAUCUCCACCACCUCCA